This 924-nucleotide ribosomal RNA is filed under the name uncultured Bacteroidota bacterium. RNAcentral's name for it is "bacterial SSU rRNA". It matches the Rfam family "Bacterial small subunit ribosomal RNA", at positions 1 to 916 of the family's 1533-position model. The record is from RNAcentral. Lineage: Bacteria; Pseudomonadati; Bacteroidota.
GGAUCCAGACUUUGAUCCUGGCUCAGGAUGAACGCUAGCUACAGGCUUAACACAUGCAAGUCGAGGGGCAGCGGUAUCGGAAGCUUGCUUUCGGUAGCCGGCGACCGGCGCACGGGUGAGUAACGCGUAUCGAACCUGCCUCAUACUCGGGAAUAGCCUUGCGAAAGUAAGAUUAAUGCCCGGUGUUUUCAGAGUCCCGCAUGAGGCUUUGAACAAAGAUUUAUCGGUAUGAGAUGGCGAUGCGUCCCAUUAGCUUGUUGGCGGGGUAACGGCCCACCAAGGCAUCGAUGGGUAGGGGUUCUGAGAGGAAGGUCCCCCACAUUGGAACUGAGACACGGUCCAAACUCCUACGAGAGGCAGCAGUGAGGAAUAUUGGUCAAUGGGCGGAAGCCUGAACCAGCCAAGUAGCGUGCAGGAAGACGGCCCUCCGGGUUGUAAACUGCUUUUAGUUGGGAAUAAAACGGGGCUCGUGAGCCCCCUUGCAUGUACCAUCAGAAAAAGGACCGGCUAAUUCCGUGCCAGCAGCCGCGGUAAUACGGAAGGUCCGGGCGUUAUCCGGAUUUAUUGGGUUUAAAGGGAGCGCAGGCGGACCUUUAAGUCAGCUGUGAAAUACGGCGGCUCAACCGUCGAACUGCAGUUGAUACUGGAGGUCUUGAGUGCACACAGGGAUGCUGGAAUUCAUGGUGUAGCGGUGAAAUGCUCAGAUAUCAUGAAGAACUCCGAUCGCGAAGGCAGGCAUCCGGGGUGCAACUGACGCUGAGGCUCGAAAGUGCGGGUAUCAAACAGGAUUAGAUACCCUGGUAGUCCGCACAGUAAACGAUGAAUACUCGCGGUUUGCGAUACAGUGUAAGCCGCCAAGCGAAAGCGUUAAGUAUUCCACCUGGGGAGUACGCCGGCAACGGUGCAACUCAAAGGAAUUGACGG